RNAcentral lists this unclassified non-coding RNA (394 nucleotides) under fungal sp. RNAcentral's name for it is "partial internal transcribed spacer region". Lineage: Eukaryota; Fungi. The record is from RNAcentral.
AAGUCGUAACAAGGUUUCCGUAGGUGAACCUUCAUUAACACGUAUCCAAACGUAAAAAACCUCCCCCGUGAACAUUCAAUCCUGCUCUUGUAACCCGCGUAGUUCGCAAUCUCUGGUAAAUCAUACGGAAAGUAGUUUUGAUUCAGAGACCUCUGGCUACGUGAGAACAUUGGAACAGUUACAAUCGAGCGGUAGUUUCACAGUUGGUGUUUGAAAGUGUCACUGAUUGUGCAAGGAUAGCGCUUCAACGAUUCCUGUAGACCGUACACUCGGGCAGGAGCUAUGCCAAAGGGUCCCCAUGUCCCCUUAUAACCCCACAGUUUAAUGUGAAGCUCAAUGUAAUACAUUGGGUAAAAAAACCGAACAACUGUUAACAAUGGAUAUCUUGGUUCUC